This is a long non-coding RNA of Bubalus bubalis (water buffalo), 1241 nucleotides long. RefSeq lists it as uncharacterized. The transcript is spliced from 2 exons. Lineage: Eukaryota; Metazoa; Chordata; Mammalia; Artiodactyla; Bovidae. The record is from RefSeq and is a predicted model, not a curated record.
GGAGAGAGGACUCGGGAUUGCUCUCCAGGCCAUGCAGGAAAAGAAGGCCCACAUCUCGAGAUGACGGGGGCGUCUCGUGGGUUUUCUCGAGCUGUGGCGCCAGUGUGGGGUUUCUCACGAGGUACGACGGGGAGUUCAGGUAGCCUCUCGUGUGGCAACAGGGAAGUCAGGUCUCCAUGGGCGGGGCAAGGGGGAGCGCGUCAUUGCUCUCAAGUCAGGGUAGGGGAAUCGGGCCUCAUGACGGGUUGAAAAAGGACUCUCGAUGUCUUUCUAGGGUUGCGGCAGGAAACCCUGGGUUCCCUUGACUUGUGCCGGUGACCUCAGGGAGCUUCUCAGGGUGCCUCUGAGAAGUCAGGGAUACUGUGGAUUUGGGAGAGGCCUCUCGGGACUCCUCUGGGUUUGGUGCAAUGGAAGAGGGCCUCAUCUCGAGUUGAGGCAGGAACCUCAGGGUUCUGCUCCUGACUUCCUGGAGCCGGAUCUGACUCAGAUCGCAGGGUCCCUGCUGAGUUUGCUCAGGAGUGUCAGGUCUCGUGUUCUGCGGAGGAAUGGAACUCCGCUUACAUCUCAAGUUGUUCAAGGAUGACACCACUUUUCGUGAUGUGUGUGGAACCUGCGGGUUUUUCGGAGAUGCACGGGGGCGUCAGUGCUCCUUCCUGUUGUGCCUUCAUCCACAGGGUUGCCUUCGAAGAGGUGUCCGGGCAUCGGGUUCUCCUCAAGUGCGGACCGGGAAAUCGGGGUCUUUCAGCAUGUUGCACCACCCACGAGGCUACGUCUCGAAUUUCCUCGUGAGACCGGCCUCAUCCUGAGGCGCGCAGGAAAGUCCGGGAACCCUUUCCAGACAAAGCAGGGGAAUCGACCCUCCUUUCGGGAUCAGGAGGAGAGAAAGGGCUCAGAUGAAGUAGUGCCGGGAACCUCGGUGCUCCCCUUGAGUGAAACUGGGUUGCCUUCGAAGUGGUGUCCGGGCAUCGGGUUCUUAUCCAGAGUGGACCGCACAAUCGGGGUCUUUCGGCAUGUGGCACCACCCACGAGGCUACGUCUCGAAUUUCCUCCUGAGAAAGGCCUCAUCCUUAGGUGCGCCGGGAUGGGCGGGAACUCCUUCCAGACAAAGCAGGGGAAUUUACCCUCCUGUCGUGAUCAGGAGGGGAGAAAGUGAUCAGAUGAAGUGGUGCCGGGAACUUCGGUGUUCCCCUCGGUGAGAACGGUGUGUCGGGGAACUUUUGGGGUUACAUCAAGGGUGAAAA